RNAcentral lists this ribosomal RNA (426 nucleotides) under uncultured bacterium. RNAcentral describes it as "bacterial SSU rRNA". It matches the Rfam family "Bacterial small subunit ribosomal RNA", at positions 355 to 773 of the family's 1533-position model. The record is from RNAcentral.
UGGGGAAUUUUGGACAAUGGGGGCAACCCUGAUCCAGCAAUGCCGCGUGUGUGAAGAAGGCCUUCGGGUUGUAAAGCACUUUUGUCAGGAACGAAAAGGCGAAGGCUAAUAUCCUUUGCUGAUGACGGUACCUGAAGAAUAAGCACCGGCUAACUACGUGCCAGCAGCCGCGGUAAUACGUAGGGUGCAAGCGUUAAUCGGAAUUACUGGGCGUAAAGCGUGCGCAGGCGGUUGUGCAAGACAGAUGUGAAAUCCCCGGGCUUAACCUGGGAACUGCAUUUGUGACUGCACGGCUAGAGUGUGUCAGAGGGGGGUAGAAUUCCACGUGUAGCAGUGAAAUGCGUAGAUAUGUGGAGGAAUACCGAUGGCGAAGGCAGCCCCCUGGGAUAACACUGACGCUCAUGCACGAAAGCGUGGGGAGCAAAC